UUCAUGAAUGAAAGUUUAAAAAAGAAAACAAUCUUUCGAAAUUUAAUGUCAGAUUGCCCUUAAAGCCAUCUCUUUCAAGGCAAUAUGUUACUCAGAAUAGAAACAGUUCCCCUGGAACAACACCGUUGAUGAAAUACAGUAUACUGUACCCGAUCUAUCAUGCAGUGCACUCUUCAAGUAAGACAAAAAUCUGUUUUAAGCUUCUUUUCAGUUUGCGGGACUCUCUCACUGGGCACAAUCAUUUGAAGUUGGAUCCGCAACACUACUCAAAAGAUGCGCUCCAGAACUUUAAAUUGGCCAAACGGUUCAUGUAUCAGUGGAAGCUAAUUCAUAGAAGUGUUCGCGACAAUCCCAUCGAAAGAUUGGAUGAUCGAUACCGACAGUUGCUUUCUAAAUAUGUAUUUCCGUCGAUGACUGAUUUGAGGAAUUUUGCAAUGGACUACUUACGCAUACAAAUUAGGAGGAAUAUUCCCACCGUGGAUCUUGCGAGCGGUACAUUUCUGGGUGCAAAACACAAGACGGCGUUACGCGGUAGUGAUUGCCACGCACUCGCAUCUUACGGUGUGUAUGACCCCGACAAAAGAAACAUCGCCUUGGAGUGGCUGAGAGAGGCUGUUGAUAGGCUAGAUGAAGACAUUGAGUGGAAGGAAUAUCAACACAAACUCGUCUUAGACUAUGCUUAUGUUCUCUCAGAGACAGGUAAGUCAGUAGUUCAUUGUAAUGCAACGCAAUUUUAUUAUUUCUACUAAUAUUUGAAAAAAAAUUGCAGUGAAACUAAAAAAAUUGUUUCCACAAAUAUCACCAAACAUAGUGUGGGACACACAGUAACCGGUGCAGUAGACAGGU
RNAcentral lists this long non-coding RNA (846 nucleotides) under Bemisia tabaci. Its description in RNAcentral is "lncRNA ENSSSA3NGG002288". Lineage: Eukaryota; Metazoa; Arthropoda; Insecta; Hemiptera; Aleyrodidae. The record is from RNAcentral.